AGAUUGAACGCUGGCGGCAGGCCUAACACAUGCAAGUCGAGCGGUAGAGAGGUGCUUGCACCUCUUGAGAGCGGCGGACGGGUGAGUAAUGCCUAGGAAUCUGCCUAGUGGUGGGGGAUAACGUUCGGAAACGGACGCUAAUACCGCAUACGUCCUACGGGAGAAAGCGGGGGACCUUCGGGCCUCGCGCCAUUAGAUGAGCCUAGGUCGGAUUAGCUAGUUGGUGAGGUAAUGGCUCACCAAGGCGACGAUCCGUAACUGGUCUGAGAGGAUGAUCAGUCACACUGGACUGAGACACGGUCCAGACUCCGUACGGGAGCAGCAGGUGGGAAUAUUGGACAAGUGGGACGGAAAGCCUGACUCCAGCCAGUCGCCGUCGGUGUGGUAGAA
RNAcentral lists this ribosomal RNA (390 nucleotides) under uncultured soil bacterium. RNAcentral's name for it is "bacterial SSU rRNA". It matches the Rfam family "Bacterial small subunit ribosomal RNA", at positions 26 to 415 of the family's 1533-position model. The record is from RNAcentral.